UUCAAGUGCGACAAUAAGUUUCCGCGUCCAACUUUAAUCGUCCGUCUUAUUUGAAAUGCUUUUAUAAUUAGUAUUUUUGUUGUUAUGAGAUGAUAAAAUAUAAAUAGUAAUUUACUCAUGACUUAUGUUUUUUAAUUUUUUUAAAAAAAUAAAUAAAAUGGGCGGUUAAAGUUGGGUGCGAAAAAACCAUGGAUGUACUUAAA
Molecule: non-coding RNA, 203 nt
Organism: Oryza glumipatula
Lineage: Eukaryota; Viridiplantae; Streptophyta; Magnoliopsida; Poales; Poaceae
Source: Rfam